GUGCAAGAGAAGAGAAGCCCAAAAGUCAGAGCGGUUACCCGGUUUUCCUGGGAAUGCUUGUCAAGUCCAGCACCGCGAGGCGGCCGCGCAGGCUGACGCCCGGACUGCAGACCUCGCAGGGCUCCUCUGGAGCUUCCUGCAGCUCUUGGGACUGCCGACGAGGAGAAAUGCACUCUGAAGAUUUGAUGGCAGGAUCUGGAGAUAGUUUUGGUCUGGCAGUAUGCAACUUCUCUGAUGGACGCUGAUCUUCUGAGAGCUGGGUGUGGUGAUUUAUGAAGGUGAGGAGAGUAAGAAGGCAUAAUUCUGCAUAAUUCAUUUAGAAAUUGUGUCUAAAUAGUGUUUGGGAAAUGGAAAAGACUGCUGUCUGGGGAAGGAGAAGGAUUUCUGGUAAGCAUCAAUGCCCAGUAAAGAGCUGGAUGACUAGCUCAGAUCAUACAGCAGGUACAUGGUGCCAGAAACAUGUUCACUGUAAAAGCUGAAAGAAGAGUCCUAUAUUUGUCUUCUGUAGGCUCUCAGAGUAGGGAGG
Molecule: long non-coding RNA, 526 nt
Organism: Nyctereutes procyonoides (raccoon dog)
Lineage: Eukaryota; Metazoa; Chordata; Mammalia; Carnivora; Canidae
Exons: 3
Source: RefSeq, a predicted model, not a curated record